RNAcentral lists this transfer RNA (72 nucleotides) under Verpa conica. Its description in RNAcentral is "tRNA-Ala". It matches the Rfam family "tRNA". From Rfam's summary of the family: Transfer RNA (tRNA) molecules are approximately 80 nucleotides in length. Their secondary structure includes four short double-helical elements and three loops (D, anti-codon, and T loops). Further hydrogen bonds mediate the characteristic L-shaped molecular structure. tRNAs have two regions of fundamental functional importance: the anti-codon, which is responsible for specific mRNA codon recognition, and the 3' end, to which the tRNAs corresponding amino acid is attached (by aminoacyl-tRNA synthetases). tRNAs cope with the degeneracy of the genetic code in two manners: having more than one tRNA (with a specific anti-codon) for a particular amino acid; and 'wobble' base-pairing, i.e. permitting non-standard base-pairing at the 3rd anti-codon position. RNAcentral also lists the same sequence under 5 other names. Lineage: Eukaryota; Fungi; Ascomycota; Pezizomycetes; Pezizales; Morchellaceae. The record is from RNAcentral.
GGGGACAUAGUUUAAUUGGAAAAACUACGAUUUUGCAUAUCGUUAUUUCAGGAUCGAGGCCUGCUGUCUCCA